Molecule: ribosomal RNA, 253 nt
Filed under: uncultured bacterium
Lineage: Bacteria
Description: partial 16S ribosomal RNA
Rfam family: Bacterial small subunit ribosomal RNA
Source: RNAcentral
UACGUAGGUGGCAAGCGUUGUCCGGAUUUAUUGGGUUUAAAGGGUGCGUAGGUGGCCCUGUAAGUCAGUGGUGAAAUAUCUCAGCUUAACUGAGAGGGUGCCAUUGAUACUGCAGGGCUUGAGUACAGAUGAGGUAGGCGGAAUUGACGGUGUAGCGGUGAAAUGCAUAGAUAUCGUCAAGAACACCGAUGGCGAAGGCAGUUCUCUGGGCCGUAACUGACGCUGAGGAGCGAAAGUGUGGGGAUCAAACAGG